AGGUCCAGCUGGGCAUGGCCCCGGGCGUGGGUGGGGAGACGAGAGAAAGGAGCGUGGGACGGAAAAGGCGAACCCGGCGAGGCCCCCAAGUCCACCGCGAAGGGGUCUGGGAGGAGCCGAGGGUCGACCAGAUGUGAAGAUGGGUCACCUUGCGAAAACCCACGCUUUUCCGCCCGUCUUGCCUGGUAAAAAGUGUGAAGUUUCUCGGGCGACCCAGUCCGGUGGUGUUCACGUUACUUGGGCUGUAUUCGUGGAACACCAGGCUGGCGUGGCACCAGAAACCUCAGUGAGGUGGUAAAAGGUCGGGCUCGAGGAGUUGUGGGUUCGCUGUUGGGUACGGAAAGCUUCGAGAUUGCAAGUUUGCGCCGCCGAGUGUCUUCUAAAAGCGUUCAGCCUCCCUUACAAGAACUUGUUCAGAUGGAGAAAAGAACAGAAAUGGAGGCCUGUAGACAGAGCUCACUGGGGAGGGAAGGGGUGUUCAAAUGGUCGGUAUCACCGCCAUCCCCUGCCCCUCCGCUGUUGAGAAACUUAGCUUUGGAAAAGCAGCCCAACUCACUGCCGCCUAUCUUAACUGUAUUUCUCUCGGUACGUUUCAACUCUCGGAAAGACACACUGACACACUGGCUGUCUUUUAAAACUGUUCAGUGUGCAGGAUGAAGAAAAAAUGGACACUAAGUAUUAUAUUUCCCCACGGGAGAGAAUCUGUCCUAAGGUGGAACCACCCUUCAAGCUCUAACACAACUGAAAUAGGGUUUAUACGUCUGUGACCAGGAGAAAAAGAGAAAGCUUGGUCUUGCUGUACAUAAAUUUUCUCUUCAAGGAGAAGUACAUAUUUCAUGAGAAUAAAUAGUUUCAGAAUGAUGCUACA
This 868-nucleotide long non-coding RNA is filed under the name Homo sapiens (human). RNAcentral describes it as "HSALNT0394309". Lineage: Eukaryota; Metazoa; Chordata; Mammalia; Primates; Hominidae. The record is from RNAcentral.